Molecule: ribosomal RNA, 223 nt
Filed under: Clostridium perfringens
Lineage: Bacteria; Bacillati; Bacillota; Clostridia; Eubacteriales; Clostridiaceae
Description: partial 16S ribosomal RNA
Rfam family: Bacterial small subunit ribosomal RNA
Source: RNAcentral
UAAAUUGAGAGUUUGAUCCUGGCUCAGGAUGAACGCUGGCGGCGUGCUUAACACAUGCAAGUCGAGCGAUGAAGUUUCCUUCGGGAAACGGAUUAGCGGCGGACGGGUGAGUAACACGUGGGUAACCUGCCUCAUAGAGUGGAAUAGCCUUCCGAAAGGAAGAUUAAUACCGCAUAACGUUGAAAGAUGGCAUCAUUAUUCAACCAAAGGAGCAAUCCGCUAU